AGGAAAUGAGGCAACAUGGACACACUCAUUUACCCAACAGCAUGCUGGGUAGAAAGAACCGCGUACGGAUAGUUCUAAUGUGAGUGACAAGGUAAUGCAACAUUGUCAUUAAGUCCAAGGCUGAGUGCCGAGAUCUGCGCAGCGGGUAAGCGACGUCUACCUGGGAGCGGCAUAUCAAGAAACGCUGCCUGUUACGUGGACUGCAGUUGGUGACCAUUUCCUCAGAGUCUGUUGCUAUGCACAGCUGCAAGUGUUCCCAGGAGCGUGCAGGUGCCAGCAUGUUUAGUAGCGGGUGAUGUUUGAAUAAAAAGGAUCUUGUCACAAGAACAAAAGACUGAUGGCUUUACCACCACUGGGGUUGCUUAUGGUGUCAUGCCACCUGGACCCACCUCUUCCUGCCGACUACGCCACUGUAAGAGAACAGACAAGGCCACGAUAAAGAUUUGGUUUUAGAGGCAAAGAACACACACAACAACUGUGGAAACGUCUUCACAGACACAAGUUCAUAACUGAGCUGAUCUAAGAUGGCAGAUCUUCCUGCUCUGAAGACUUCCAGAAGGAAGAGACAACCUUGGUACCCUACCCGGGACAGGAAUGUGUGCGAUUCUCAGAUUUCUGCUUGGCCUUCCAUCUGCACAGUGUUAUAGGACAAUUUCAAAUAUACUCCCCACUGUCCUUGACAAUACAUAGGAAUAAGAUGGGUUAAAAGAAGAAGGACACAGCAAUACAUUUUAGUGCAAUUGAGCCAGUGGCCUGAUUAUUCAAGACAGUAUAUACAUAUAUAUGUACUGCUCAAAAAAUUAAAGAUACA
Polypterus senegalus (gray bichir) is the source of this 811-nucleotide long non-coding RNA. RefSeq lists it as uncharacterized. Lineage: Eukaryota; Metazoa; Chordata; Cladistia; Polypteriformes; Polypteridae. The record is from RefSeq and is a predicted model, not a curated record. The transcript is spliced from 4 exons.